Magnolia sinica is the source of this 3224-nucleotide long non-coding RNA. RefSeq lists it as uncharacterized. Lineage: Eukaryota; Viridiplantae; Streptophyta; Magnoliopsida; Magnoliales; Magnoliaceae. The record is from RefSeq and is a predicted model, not a curated record. The transcript has 3 exons.
AUAAAAAAAACCUUCCCAAAACCCGUCACGAGUUUGGGUGAAUGGCUUUGGUUGUGGGUUUGCUCCCCAUAGACACAAGUGUGAUUCCCCUCCCUGUGGAUUACCUAUCACGAGUUGGGGCAAACGACUUUGGUCGUGGGUUUGCUUCCCACAGACACGAGUUUGUUUCCCCUCCAUGUGGAUUAUGUUAUGAGUUUGGGCGAAUGACUUUAUUCGUGGGUUUGCUCCCCACUGACAAGAGUUCGAUUCCCCUCCCUGUGGAUUACUUGACACACGUGGUGUAACUGGGGAUUUUUUUUGAAAAUUUAUUUAUUAAAUAAUCCCCACUUCCGGAGACCCACUACACCUGACCCGACUCCGUGCUGACUCGACUCGGGUGUUGGUUGACUGACUUUGAUUGCAUAUAAGUUGUUCGUUCGACGAAAAUGUUCAUCUACAUCCCCUAUUCGAAUUAGAAAUUCUGCCUUGCCUCUUAUCACUUCGCUCCUUCCCCGUGAUCAUUUUUAGGUUUUGGUUUGUCCUAGACGAUGGGGUGAGGUCCCAUGAAUGUGCACAUGGCUUACUUUCUAUUGGAUUGUCUUCAAUAGGCAAAAUCUCACACCACUUUACACAAAGGGUUGAUUAGUUGUGGAAUCAAAGUAAUAACCGUCGAUCUUUAAUUAGGAUCAAGACAAAUAUGAACAGUCAAACUCUUACCUGAAGAUGAAGUUAGGCUUGGAUUAGGAAGUCACUCAUAACGAAAUGUUUUUUUAGCUGAAAAUAUUGGGGCAUCAUUUAAAAUAGACAAAUUUUAUGCAUCAUCUUCAAAAGGAUUCUGCACCAGAAUCAAACACUAGGAAAAUUUUAAUGAUUAAGAAAUAAAUUGAUAAGAAGAAUACCAAAGGACGAUCUAUGCUAAAAUAAAAUCAAUACAUUAAAGCCUUUGAUCCUUAUAUUCCAAUCUAUACUUUCUAUUCUCAAAGUGGCUAGGGGAAAAAAUUUAGAAGUCGAGUAAGAGGAUUGUGGUAUCUGUCAAUGUGGAUUAAAUGUUAAACUCUAGAAUUCUAUGAGUAAAUUUAGAUCAAAUUAGUUAAAACUUUGCUAGUAUCGAAGUCCUCAUAUGGGUAGAUGAUAUUACCUUGUAUAAAAAUUGCUUACUCCAAGUUUGAUUCCCCUCCUUGUGGAUUACUCGUCACGAGUUUGGGAGUACGUCUUUGGUUGUGGGUUUCCUUCCCUAAAACACGAGUUUGGUUCCCCCUUCCCGUGGAUUACCCGAUGCAUGUGGUUGGCAGGUGAUCGUGUUCUUUCUUAGGGAAUAGUCUCGCCUUAAAGGGGCGGGGACACCAUGUCGUUAUAAAACAAAAGAAAAUUCUAAAUUUAGAAGUGUGGUGUUUGUCAUCGUUGCUAUAGCUAAUUUAGAACGGGAAGAAAGAGUACAAAAAAGAGAAAAGAAAAGACUUGAAGGAGCUUAGAAAAAUGAAGAGAGCAUAACGGUAAGUUUUUAGAUGCUGAACUUUACAUAGAGCUUAACUUUAAAGGGAGCUUAGAAAAUAUAUUACUUUUGAAACGAAGGAAUCCAAUGGUUUGUUGGUUAUUUCACAUCAUAAUGAUGUUGUUUUUAGCCAAUUAACUUAAAGGACAUUUAGUUAGUAAGGGUGCUUUUUUGAACUCCUUUGAAAAUUAUUCUCUUUGAGAAGUCCUUGUGGCUCAUUGGUAGUGAGCUUAAGUGUGUCACAGAAAGUUGUUUAUCCUGUCAGUUGAAGACUCUCGAAAUCUUGACGUUUUGUCACUGCUCCUCACUAAUGGUGUGCUAAAAUCAUCCUACAACUUGUAUCGCUUAGUAAUUGCUUCUAUAUAGUAAGGGUACUUUUUUGAACUCGUCACUAAUGGUGUGUGAAAAUCUCAAAAAGAAAUAUUUUCGAUUUCAAGGUCGAAUCAAGACAGCGACCAAUCUAACUUUGAUGGUGUCACCUUGCUUCAUAAACUAUUUGUGCACAUGGUGGUUGUCUUGGUCUUGUUAAGCAAGUAUUCGUUUUUUGAAUUAAGGUCAUUUUUUCUUCCAUUUAAAAUAAUUUUUUUUUCGUGCGCUCUCAUGCUUUUGAUGUUUGUGAAAACAACUAACAUCCUACAACUUGUAUCAUUGAGCAAUUAUUUCUAUUUCGGUUAUGCAUGUGUAUCGUUUUGUUUGGUUGGCCCAAAUAUUGAGAAGAACCAACACCGUUGGAGCCUUUGAUUCUUAUGGGGUGUUUUCAAAUGCUGGACUUUACAUAGAGCUUAACUUUCAAGAGAGCUUAGAAAAUAUUUUACUUUUGAAACUAUGGAAUCCAAUGGUUUGUUGGUUUUUUCACAUCAUAAUGAUGUUUUUUUUUUCCCCGGCCAAUUAACAUGAGGGACGUCUAGUUGUAAUAGUAAGGUUACUUCUCUGAACUUCUUUGAAAUUUAUUCUCUUUGUAAAGUUGAGGAUUUGAAAGUAAGACCAUGAACAAUCAACUUCGAUACUAUCACCUUGCUGCAUAAACUUUUUAUACAAAUGGUGGCACUCAUCUUGAGCAAUAGCUUGUUUUUUGAAUUAGGGUAAUUUUCUUUUUUCACUUAAAUUAUUUUUUUCGAGCCCUUUUGUUCUCAUCAUGUCUAUGAAACUAUCAUCACAACUACGAUCACCCAUUCAUGAUCAUAUGGCAUCUUCGACAAUUGCUCCUACUAUAACUUAACCCUAAGCAAUUGAUCUGUAUUGUCUUUGCUUGUUUGACACAAAUUGAGAGAAGAAAUAACACUGUUAGAGCCUUUAACACUUCUGGAGUGUUUUCAAAUGCUAUAGUUUACAUAGAGCAUUACUCUCAAGAUAGCUUAGAGAGUAUCUUACUUUUGAAACUAUGGAACUCGAAUGGAGAAGCUCUCUCAAAGAAGUCAUGGUCAAUGGAUGGUUCCACAGGGGAUCAAGUGGCAGCCAAAUGGAAUUAUGAAAAUCAUUGACAGGAAAAAGAACAUUUUAAAGCUUUCAUAAGGAUAAUAUGUUCAUGUUGAAAAUCUGGAGAACAUCUCUGGUGAAGGUUCUGAAAUUGACUUGUGGAGCAGUAUUUGAAAAAUAAGCAUAUGCGCAAUGUUGUUGAUCUGUUGAAUGAUUCCAAGGGGAAUGAGAGAAAAAAAAUCUAUCAAGUUAGAUAUUGAAGGGUUCAGGUCAGCUCUGUCUCGUGUGGAUUUACAGAUGAAGAAUCUUCCUGCACUUGCUCAGGUGGUUUUCUGAU